This 227-nucleotide long non-coding RNA is filed under the name Mustela putorius furo (domestic ferret). RNAcentral's name for it is "lncRNA (ENSMPUG00000031178.1)". The record is from RNAcentral. Lineage: Eukaryota; Metazoa; Chordata; Mammalia; Carnivora; Mustelidae.
GAAAAUGGAGACCUCCCAGUCCCCGGCCUGGAGGAGCUGAGAGCUUUGGGCCCUCUACUCAGUGCGCCCUCAGAGAAUAGCGCCCAAUCACUACCGUCUACUUGGCCUCUGGCCAUGCUCCGAGCUCACCCAGCCUGCUACUGGUUCAAGUGCAGGACCAAUGGAUGAGACAGGCAGGCCCAGUGCAGCCCUGGCAGGGCUGGGUCAAGCGGAGAACACAGGACCCC